CAGUUUCCUCAUCCAGUUCCCAUCAUCCCUCACUGGCUCCAAAUCCAAGAUGGCGGCUCAAAUGUUCAGAUUUACAAGAUUUACAAGUUCAGUGACGUCAAGUUUGUAAGCAAAUAUUUAAUAAUUGGUGCACAAAAUAACAGCAAAGCUAAAAUAUUCAACCAGUAUACAUGCAGGUGGCUGUCUAGCUUGAAUGGACCAAUGCUUAGGGAUAAUUUAGCGAACACAACGUGUGUAAGUUGACCUAAGUUCAGUCAACUUCAAAUGGCUUCCAAACAAGAUGGCAAAGCCUUUGUUGGUGAGGUGGCUAUCUAAUGAAUCCAAGAAGAAAGAUAGCAGUGUGUUGGGAGAUUUGAUGGAAACACAAGAGCAGCGCCACAAUCUCAGCUAACAGUAGGUGCCAAAGUUGUUCAGACUGGAAGAGAUGCUACAUAUUUUGGUAUCAUUCUCGUUGGAUUUGCCAUCACUGGUAAGAAGUCAUAGAGCAGUUUUUGUAGCAGUUUAAAUCAAGGCUUAGCUUAGAACAAUGUAUAUAAUUUAUGUUUAAUGAAAAGUUAUGUUAAAAGCUUGAUUACCAGUUUUAUGAAUAACCAAUAAAUCACCAAUAGAAAAAGCAAGCGCAAAAAUUUGUAUUUUGGAAUUGUCUUAUUACUAUUAACGAAAUUCCAAUUUAGAAGUUGAUUUAAGUGGAGGUAGGAAAACUGGAGAACCCAGAGGAAAACCCUGAAAAAGUCUGGGAAUAGAACUAGGCCAUCACAUUGGUGAGAGGCGAGUGCUCUCACCUCUAUGCAACCUUUGCUUCUCCAAUUAAAUUAUUUUAAAUUAAAAUUACAAAAAUUUGUAUGUGUACAGUCAACUGAUGACUAAAUAGCCUCGGAUAAAUAUCCAUGGGUUUAUGCACCUAUCAGCGGCUUCCCUUGGGGUCGACCCCCGGGCUGACCAAGGAGAUGGGUGGGAGAAUAUAGAAUAUAGAAUAUAGGAUUGAAUCCAGUUAUUCCCCCUGGGGUUGGAAAAAAUUUGCGACAUUGGUUUCGUGGCUAAAAACUGAGGUGGGGGAUUGUAAUGAAAUUAUUUUCAUUGCAGAGGUUAGCAGGGGGAUUGAUUUUCCUCUCUAGUUAAAGAAAUAGCUCCUGAUUUUAAAAAUUUUGAGACCACAGACGUUUUUGGUCGGGCUGGGUUACCUGUGUCAUUCGACAAUACCCAGAUGCCUCUCUGCUCGUAAAGAUAGUAUGUUUUUUGACAUUCUUUGUUUCAUAGAUACGAAUUCGAAGGCAACUUGAUUUUUACUUUUAAAAGUGAAUUCUUCAUUUCAUGAGAGUUUUUUUUCCAAUCUUUUCAAUGAAAAACUACCUGAAAUAGUUGAGUUCAGUUUUCAAAAUACAAUAACAAUAAUUUCAACCAAAAUGAGGGAGAUCGUAGAUUUGAAUGCCUCGACCAGGGAACAUUGAAAAGAACAACUUCCCUACCCCUGGGGAAAAUGAUCAACAUUGUUUAUGAAUUUUUACAAUCUCCCUGGUAAUGCAGCCCGGGGGUCGACCCCACAGGGAAGCCGCUGAUAGGUGCAUUAAACGGCUUAGAAGACUGCCGGCACCUUUGUUGUCGAAUGUAAAGGUGCUGUCGCAUAGCAACAUAGUGAUAAGAUCUAACAGUGUCAGCCUGAUAAUAUCUUUGUCUGGAAGAAACAAACUGUAAUCAUAAAGACUGUGUUUUAUACGGUCUCUAAUUUGCUUUCCUGUCGUAUUAAGUCGUACAUUACUAUUUUUCUAUAUCUUUGGUGACACAAAUUACUAAUUUGCGAAGAAAAUAUAUUACAAGCUCUUCUUCAUCAUUUAGUUUUACCAACCGGAACAAUGGAGGAAUAUUUAAAUUCAAAAUCUGCUGCUAACCUAUUGUCUAAAUACUCAAACACUAUUGGAUAAUUUGUGGAAAAUUUGUCGGGGUGGCUUUGGGAGUAGUCGCACUGUAAAGUCAUAUUUGCAUUUAUUAUAUACAACUGUUUCGCAUUCAAUAGACACCACUGCUUUUGAAAACCACAGUGUUAUUAGCAAGGCUUAGCCUCAUUUAUGAGUCAACUAUUCACAGAUAUCAUUAAAAGUCCUUGGGUUCAAAGUGCUAGAAAUAUAUGACAUAUAUAUCCCACGUUUCAUCAGCAUUUCCUUUCCUCAUAUAAAUAACCAAUGUAGUCUAUAUUGCAUAAAAGUUUUGUACUUGUUACUGUCGUGUAAUGUUCAUAAUCAGAUGACGUAAGAUGACCAAUAAACGUUUAAUUAUC
Long non-coding RNA from Actinia tenebrosa (Australian red waratah sea anemone), 2272 nucleotides. The record is from RefSeq and is a predicted model, not a curated record. Lineage: Eukaryota; Metazoa; Cnidaria; Anthozoa; Actiniaria; Actiniidae.